CCAAGGAGUCUAACAUGUGCGCGAUCAUUGGGACUUGAAUAAGCCUAAAGGCGUAAUGAAAGUGAAGGUCUUCCUUAGCGUUGGCCGAGGGAGGAUGGUCGGCUUCAAGGAGCCGACUCGCACUCCCGGGGCGUCUCGUGCUCAUUACGAGCAGAGGCGCACCUAGAGCGUACACGUUGGGACCCGAAAGAUGGUGAACUAUGCCUGGUCAGGACGAAGUCAGGGGAAACCCUGAUGGAGGUCCGUAGCGAUUCUGACGUGCAAAUCGAUCGUCGGAACUGGGUAUAGGGGCGAAAGACUAAUCGAACCAUC
This 312-nucleotide ribosomal RNA is filed under the name Aphytis holoxanthus. RNAcentral describes it as "eukaryotic LSU rRNA". It matches the Rfam family "Eukaryotic large subunit ribosomal RNA", at positions 666 to 944 of the family's 3401-position model. The record is from RNAcentral. Lineage: Eukaryota; Metazoa; Arthropoda; Insecta; Hymenoptera; Aphelinidae.